UACGUAGGGACCAAGCGUUGUUCGGAUUUACUGGGCGUAAAGGGCGCGUAGGCGGCAAUUCAAGUCAUCUGUGAAAUCUCCGGGCUUAACCCGGAACGGUCAGAUGAUACUGCUUUGCUAGAGUGCGGAAGGGGCAAUCGGAAUUCUUGGUGUAGCGGUGAAAUGCGUAGAUGUCAAGAGGAACACCUGAGGUGAAGACGGGUUGCUGGGCCGACACGUGACGCUGACAGCGCGAAAGCCAGGGGAGCAAACGGG
Molecule: ribosomal RNA, 255 nt
Filed under: uncultured bacterium
Lineage: Bacteria
Description: partial 16S ribosomal RNA
Rfam family: Bacterial small subunit ribosomal RNA
Source: RNAcentral